Long non-coding RNA from Daucus carota subsp. sativus, 2184 nucleotides. RefSeq lists it as uncharacterized. Lineage: Eukaryota; Viridiplantae; Streptophyta; Magnoliopsida; Apiales; Apiaceae. The record is from RefSeq and is a predicted model, not a curated record. The transcript is spliced from 3 exons.
AAUCUCAAUUAACUCCUAGCAUGGUACUCAUCUCUCCCCCUCCCCCUCCCCCUCCCCCUCCCUCUCUCACACACACACACAGCUAUUAUAUCCCGGGCAUUGUUCUCUCUCUCUCGCUCCUUCUCUCUCCCCCCUCCCUCUCUUUCUCACACACGCACACAACUAUUAUAUCCUGCACAUUGUGUUUGAUAUGCGAUCUGUGUAAUUUAUCUAAGCAAUGUUAAUAUUGUUUUUUUCCCUUAAUUUUCUUGGUUUAUAUUGUACUGAUCAAAAUUUUAGACUAUGAAAACGUAGUUUUAUAAUUCAUCCAAGUCUAGAAUUGUAAUUUGCGAUUUUGCCCAUGAUUAUUAGACAGUGGUGGAGGGGGAAAUUUUAGUUGUUGGGACUAAUAUAUCAUUAUGAUGUGAAAUGAGGUGAUAAUGUACAAGAUGAAGUAGGAAAGGGAGAUAAUACAUUUGUAGAGCGAAUGAGUGCGAGAAACAUUUCAUGUGUACUUGUAAGAACUAAGAUGGGAGGAAUGUAUUCAGGUAUGCAGAAUUUGUGCCCUGCAUAUCAUGCUACAUGCUUUAAAUUAGAUAAGGUUUCAAGUAACCAAGCAUUAUCUUCUAGCGUUUAUAUAAUAUUCAAAGGAGACCAGCUGCUUAGUAUCCUUAACUACCUCUUUUGAAACAACAUAUGGUUCCACAAGAUUUUCCUCUCCCUAAUUUCUUUGGUUUUGCGUAACUUGAAUUUGAGGGGUAUAACCUUUGACCUCUCCUUAUUACUUGUCAAGGUAGCAUGUCAGAAAUUAUCUGUAGAAUCAUAGAAACUCUAUAUUUGACUUUGGUUCUUGUAACUCUGUGUUUUUAAUAAUAAAAACUAUUAAAAUGUCAUAUUCAUUUCUACAGGUUCCCUUCAUGGAAUACCUUACGGAUUGAAAGACCUAAUUGUGGUGCCUCAAUUCAAAACAACCUGGGGUUCAACAUCAUAUAAAGAUCAAGUUUUGGAGUAGAAGCUUGGGUUUACAAUAGGUUGGGUACUGCUGGAGCAGUCCUUCUUGCGAAGUCACAGGAACACCGACAUAUAAUGGCAUUUGGUUUUGGGGUAGGACAAGAAAUCCGUGGAAUAUUGAGGAAUACUCAUACGGUUUGUCAGCUGGACCUGCUUCAUGCACCUCCGCGGGUCUACUUUUGUUGUUUAGUCAUCUCAAAGUACAGGAAUCGUCAAGUUAUCAACUAAAAUUGUAUGUUCAUCAAGUUAUAUUCCAAUCUCUAGAUAUGUAUUUACUAAGUGAAUUUUGUGCAGGAAUGGUUUCGUUUGCAAUUGGUUCAGAGACUGCUGAUGUACCCGGCUGCUCAUUGUGGAGUGACUGCACUGCGUCCACCUUUUGGGACUGUGGGUCGAACUGGUGUAAAUGAGCGUGUCUGACAGCUUGGUAGUGUAGAAACACUUAAUCUUGCUCAGUUUACUUUCCCCUUCUCUUAUUGAACCCUGUGAGAACUGAGCAUAUCUUUGAUUUUGAAAAAAUAAAAUUGGACCAUUCUGUAGAAGUGCAGCAGAUUUUGGAAUUAUCCUUGAUGAUCUUUCUUCUUUGAUGAUCGUUCAUGGUAGAUUUAACAAAGCUAAUUGUUGAAUCUCGAGGAUGCUAGCAUGGAGGUUGUUCAAGUUCGUGUUAAAGUGAUUCCUUUUAAUUUGAAUUAUCCAUUGGGUUCUGUGCAAGGUAUCUUAAACUACACAAUGGAUGUCUGAUAUGUUGGCUCACUUUGACAAGUGCCAUUUUUAAGUACUUUGUGCUAUAUACACUGGAGUUAUUUUACACUAUUAACUUUAAUAUUCUUGUUAGGGAUCAGCCUCGGUUGUUUGGCCUAUGGUGCAAAUUUUCUAAGCCUUGCUAAUUUUUUUAUUAUAGAUUGGUGCAAAGAAAUAUGGUCAUUAAUAUUGUAAUUUUUUGAAUUUACAUAUGCUCACAAGCAGAGAACAUAUGAGCGUUAUACUCCGUAUAUCUGUAAGUAAACUGCACAAGAGUGAGUAUUAGAUACACCAAUGGAAAUGAGAAUGGUGCAUCUGGAAAAAGAAAUGGGGCAUUAAGUUCCACGGUUUCUUCGGUUUCGUAUGUUGUACUUCCUGAAGUCAUCGUUCUUAACUACUGCCAGCUUGACCUCGCCAUUCUGACCAUCAUUAUUAAUUGCUAGAUUUGCUCUCCAU